CGGGGUGUAGUUCAGUUGGCUAGAACGCUACAUUCGGGAUGUAGAGGUCGUCCGUUCAAGUCGGAUCACCCCGA
RNAcentral lists this transfer RNA (74 nucleotides) under Candidatus Microgenomates bacterium. RNAcentral describes it as "tRNA-Pro". It matches the Rfam family "tRNA". Rfam says of the family: Transfer RNA (tRNA) molecules are approximately 80 nucleotides in length. Their secondary structure includes four short double-helical elements and three loops (D, anti-codon, and T loops). Further hydrogen bonds mediate the characteristic L-shaped molecular structure. tRNAs have two regions of fundamental functional importance: the anti-codon, which is responsible for specific mRNA codon recognition, and the 3' end, to which the tRNAs corresponding amino acid is attached (by aminoacyl-tRNA synthetases). tRNAs cope with the degeneracy of the genetic code in two manners: having more than one tRNA (with a specific anti-codon) for a particular amino acid; and 'wobble' base-pairing, i.e. permitting non-standard base-pairing at the 3rd anti-codon position. Lineage: Bacteria; Candidatus Microgenomatota. The record is from RNAcentral. RNAcentral also lists the same sequence under 1 other name.